RNAcentral lists this non-coding RNA (212 nucleotides) under Aliiroseovarius pelagivivens. The record is from RNAcentral. Lineage: Bacteria; Pseudomonadati; Pseudomonadota; Alphaproteobacteria; Rhodobacterales; Paracoccaceae.
CAUGCAGAACCAGCGAUCGGUUUCGCGUGUGCAGAAGCACCGCGAAAGUAAUAGGGAACCCGGUGAGGUGUAGCCAACAGGCGCCAAAACCGAGACUGCCCCCGCAACUGUGAGCGGCGAGCGAAGCUGAACAUGCCACUGGGUCCGCCCGGGAAGGCCAGCCAAGCAAAGACCCGCAAGUCAGGAGACCUGCCGGACGCUGGGCAUUUGCC